Small nucleolar RNA from Mastacembelus armatus (zig-zag eel), 217 nucleotides. Ensembl annotates it as small nucleolar RNA U3. The record is from Ensembl. Lineage: Eukaryota; Metazoa; Chordata; Actinopteri; Synbranchiformes; Mastacembelidae.
AAGACUAUACUUUCAGGGAUCAUUUCUAUAGUUUCUGACUUGAGAAAUGUGUUUCUAAAGUGUAUGGUCUCGCUAACCACGAUGAUGAGUCGUGAUAUUUCCUUUUGAGCGUGAAGCAGACAGAAAAUAAUGGUUCAUUUCAUAUGUUUUCUGUUAUUGAUGACCGUUCUUUGCUUCUUUGUGGAGUAAUGAGGGAGGGAAUAUGAUCAGAGUGGUU